UGAGGCUUCGGCGGAAUCUUGUUAAAUCUUAGUGGCGGACGGGUGAGUAACGCGUGGGCAACCUGCCUCGUACUGGGGGAUAACAGUUGGAAACGACUGUUAAUACCGCAUAAGCGCACGGUACCGCAUGGUACAGUGUGAAAAACUCCGGUGGUACGAGAUGGGCCCGCGGUCAGAUUAGCCAGUUGGUGGGUAACGGCCUACCAAAGCAACGAUCUGUAGCCGGACUGAGAGGUCGGACGGCCACAUUGGGACUGAGACACGGCCCAAACUCCUACGGGAGGCAGCAGUGGGGGAUAUUGCACAAUGGGCGAAAGCCUGAUGCAGCGACGCCGCGUGAGUGAAGAAGUAUUUCGGUAUGUAAAGCUCUAUCAGGCAGGGAAGAAAGACUCGUAAGAGAGAUGACGGUACCUGACUAAGAAGCCCCGGCUAACUACGUGCCAGCCGCAGC
RNAcentral lists this ribosomal RNA (451 nucleotides) under uncultured bacterium. Its description in RNAcentral is "bacterial SSU rRNA". It matches the Rfam family "Bacterial small subunit ribosomal RNA", at positions 69 to 518 of the family's 1533-position model. The record is from RNAcentral.